AUAAAAAUAGCAAAAAAGUGCGCUAGGUUUAAGCUCUAGAUAUGAAGAUGAAAGUUCUUUUUUUUAUA
RNAcentral lists this transfer RNA (68 nucleotides) under Koreoleptoxis nodifila. Its description in RNAcentral is "tRNA-Leu". It matches the Rfam family "tRNA". From Rfam's summary of the family: Transfer RNA (tRNA) molecules are approximately 80 nucleotides in length. Lineage: Eukaryota; Metazoa; Mollusca; Gastropoda; Pleuroceridae. The record is from RNAcentral.